Molecule: long non-coding RNA, 7647 nt
Organism: Canis lupus familiaris (dog)
Lineage: Eukaryota; Metazoa; Chordata; Mammalia; Carnivora; Canidae
Exons: 7
Source: RefSeq, a predicted model, not a curated record
AUCUACAAACACUAGUAAAUACUUGUACCCAUAUUUUCCAGGUUUUACCUCGAGAGUUUUUAAUAGUGAUCUUUGCAUGUCGUAGGAGGUCUUCCAUCUUCCUUGUUCCCGAGUACUCCGAUGCAUUUUGGAUAGGACUCGCCGUCCCAGUUCCUCUGGCAGGAUGAUGCUGGAGUCUGCGGCCCUCCACCAGCCACGCAAGCACUUGAUCCAGUGUAAGUCAGUGUCAGUAUAGUUGGGGGUGUCGGGCAGGGUCGGGCCCCCGGAUCAGGUCGCGUGGUUGUUAAAACCUGGGUCACCAGAAGGGCCGCCUCCUUAGCUUCUGAGUCGGCCAGCAGGUUUCCCCCGCUACUGGUGUGUCUGCCCUCUGGUGUCCUGGACAGUGGAUGAUGGUGCCUUGGGCAGCCAGAGGGCCCUCAGGAGUUCAAGGAUCUCUGUUUUGUUUUUAGUAGUUUUUUUCCCUCUGCUGUCAGAAGCCCUCUGUCCCUGUAAAGGGCUCCGUGGACGUGAGCGGCGGCGAGGGCGGACCCGCUGUCGGGGUAGAUGUUGAUUCGUUCACCUUCCCCCACGGUCAGCGCCUUGGCCAGUGCGGUCAGUUCUGCCCGUUGAGCCGACGCUCCGCUGCCAGUGGCUCCGCCCAGACGGUCUCCGUCUCCGAGGUCGCGGCUGCCCCCGCGGAUCUGACUCCUUCUCGGACAAAACUGCUGCUCUUAUCAAGAGCAGACCAACAAAUCAAGGAAACUUUUGCACAGAAAGUAGACUUUUAAUCUUAUACUCUUGUACUUUAAAAUCCAUUUACUUUGAUCUUAGUCUGUCCUGACCACAUCUAAAAUUCCUUUCCAAGGAUUUCCUUUCACAACCCUUUUACACCUUCCUCUGCAUUCAGAAUUUGUCCCAAGCCAUUUCUUUCCAGUCAGUCUCAUUUGGGACAAAAUUACUUUCUUUUACCUUGAACAAAAAUAUAUUCCCAUUCCUUACAUUUUUCUUACAUAUCUCCUUUUCUACAUACAGAGUUGCUUUCUUUAUCAGUCAUCAGUCUUACUUUAGCAGAGUUUUUCCAUUCUUAGGAACCUUAGUGUCCAAUGAAAACUAAGGAGUAACCGAAUUUUGAACACCAGAACUCUUUAGACGGCUAAUUUAUGAAACAGUUAAGUACAAAGCAUGUUCACCAACAGAUUCAAAUCAACGUUUCAGCACUUUUUCCUGUUUGGAAAAGACCUAGAUGUCCGAUGAAUUUAAUUCCAUUUAUCAUCAAAGUGUAACUAAGGUUUCAGGUUACCAAGGACUUUGAAAGGUAUCUUAACAAUUACUUAUGAAAACUUGGAAACAGACAAUUAGCCAUCAGUUUAGCCAAUUUUUUACUAACAAAUUGCAAAAUGAUAACAACUUAUGUGACCUUCAGUAAGCCUCAAUAGCAUAAAAGUUUCAGGCUUAGUAGUGAUAAUUUUCAAGACCUAUUUGCUAUGUCCCAUCUGGAUCCACUUAAAGUCAAUCAAUUUGCUCCCCAUCAUCAGUUUUUAUCUGAGACACUGGUGGGGGAAUCUGGAGGGGGCAGUGUUAAGUAAUUGAUGGUCUUCUUGUUAUUCGUCUUCUAAACUCAGGACAAGCACCUGAAUUGGGUGCCCCUCCUUGUUUAGGAUUUUUGCUCCUUCGGGGUGGAAGCGAAUUUGUGCCCCCAUCUUGGUGAGCAAAUCCUGACCUAACAACGGGUAGGACACUCAGGGAUGACCAUGAAGGAGUGGGAUACCUGGCCCAUGCCGAGAUCCACAAUUCUUUGGGUAGUCCACGAGUACUGUUUGAUGCCCGUGGCCCCUUGCACCUAUGAAGUCUUGCUUGCCAAUUUCCCUUGGGGUUGUAAUAAAACUGAGUGUUGUGCCUCAGUGUCCACUAGGAAUUCAACAGGUUGCCCCUCUACUCCGAGAGUUACCCUGGGCUCGGGGAGGGGUGCCGAACCCUGACUCCCCUAAUCGUCCAGGUCCUCCAUCUCCAAGAUCUUGGCAGGGGCCUUUUGUUAAGACAGUCUUUCACCCAGUGGCCCUUUUCCUUGCAAUGGGCACAUUUGUUCAGUUUAGGGCGCUCCCGAUGGGGACCAAGAAGCCAUCCAAGCUUCUUGAGGUGCCUCUGUCUUUCCCGUGGGUCAUCCAUGGUUGUGGCCAGCAGGAUCUUGACCAGGUUUCAGGUCUACUGGUCGCUUGGUUUGGUUUGUUGCUCUUCUGGACUUUCUCUAUUAUUACAGACUCUUUCUGCUACUAUUACUAAGUCCUGCAAGCUUUUCUCUCCCAGUCUCUCUACUCUUUGCAAUUUCUUUUUAAUGUUGGGAGCCGCCUGGUUAACAAAAGCCGUGAUAAUUGCAGCCUUUGUUUCUGGGGCUUCUGGGUUCAUAGGGGUGUACUGCCUAAAAGCCUCUAUGACUCUCUCUAAGAAGGCUGCUGGACUCUCAUCCUUGCCCUGUCUCACACCAUAUACCUUGGCCAGAUUGGUAGGUUUGCACGUGGCAGCCUGGAGGCCUGCCAUUAGAGUCUGGCGGUGGACCCGGAGUCUCUCCUUACCUUCAGCCGAGUUGUGGUCCCAGGUGGGGCGGGAUAAGGGGAAGGCAGCAUUUCUGAGGUCUGGGUUUUGAGUCGGCUGUCUGUCCUCUCCCAGGACAGACUUCCGGGCUUCCACCUGAUUCGUUCUCUCUCCUCGGUGGUGAAGAGAACCUGCAAGAGCUGUUGGCAGUCCCAAGUAGGCUGGGGUUUUGCAAUUUUGAAACUAUUAUCAAAGGAUGGAGCAAAUUGAGCACAUGAAUAAAUGAUGAUUCUCACUGUUGGAGACAAGAGAUACAGAUAUAAAUAUGGAGCGGGAAGAACCCUAUGAUGAUUGGAAUUGCAGAUGCCAAUAUGAACUCAUUUUUGCACUUCUGACUGAAGCAGCACCAUGACCUGCUUGUGCCUGGCUGUGAAUUGCAUCUGGAUGAGAGAAAUUGGACGCUGGCAAAAGAGUUAUGGAAGAAUUUCAAAAAAGUGGGGUGAAACCAAAUUUGUUUUCCACAUUUGCCUCAGGUUUGCCUGGUGGAGAUUGGAAAAUAAGGCCUCUGGAAACAAUGAAAGGAAUCAUAAUUAAAUAGCCCAGAGAAGAUCUUUAUGCAAUCAUGUAGUUUUCCUUAGAACAGAGCAUGGAUGGUUAGGCCCACGUAGGCACAGAACACAAUACACAAUAUCUGUUUAGAUAAAAGGAAAAAAAUUCUCACUGGUAAAAACGAAAAUAACUGUGGAGAUUUGACGGCCUUUACCAGCAGAGUAGAGGCCCCUGUGUAGGAUUGGAUGGGAUCGGGUUUCGGUGUCCUUCCAGACCCAGGAUUCUGAGAAGAAAGGAUGGUAAUGUGGAGACCAGCAUGGUUUCCAUGGGUACCAGGAGUUGGGAUCGGUUGUAAAAGGAAAGGGGAGAGCUUCACUCAGAUGUAGGGACAAAAAAACGUACCACAGUACAGAACAUGUAGUAGCUGCAUAAUACUGACUAGUUUAUAAAGAAGUAGAGUCUUAGAAGCCAGCUGAACAGGUGACACAGUCUCCCAGUUCUGAUAGGAGACAACUUAAUAGACACAAAUAUAUUGCACAAAACCUCAACACAGGUUUCUGCAGGGAAGGUUUCCACCCAGUCCCUGCUGCUCCCCAAAAGGUCAGGGAACAGAAAUUCCCUAAGUCACUGUUCACUGUGAUUCAGCAUUCCUCAUCCUGUGAAAGGACACAAGUCUGUCUCUUCACUUUAACAGCAAACCCCAGUAGCAUGAGGUGACCUUGGUUAUAGACAAGAAUCAUUGAAUAUGGCAGCACUUGUGGCAGCUGUGACUCCUUCCUUUGGUUAUGGAUCUCAAGCUCCACAAAGUCCUCAGGUGUCCAAAAUGACAGAUGUUCUUUUGAAAGAAUUAAACCAGGAUCAACUCACCCAUCCUCAAAGGGAAUUGACCAUGGUGACUCUUCUGAGAGGCGUUGUUGACUUUUCAGGGGAGCUUGCUGUUCGCCUGCCAGUACAACUUCUCUUCUACUUUUUUCUUUUUCCAUCGGCAGAGUAGCAGCAUCUUAAAGGUCUUCCUGAAGGUUCUGUUGCAGAGGGCAUAGCAAAUGGGGUUGACGGUACUGUUGACAUAGCACAACCAGUAGCCCAAGUGCCACAGGGUGACUGGGACACAUUUGUCACAGAAGGUGGAAACCAGGACCAUUAUGUUAUAAGGGGUCCAGGUGAUGAUGAACGCCAGGAGAAUGGCACUCAAAGUCUGCGCUGCUUUCCUCUCCUUGACAAGGACCAUUCUUUUUCGUUUGGUCAUUUGAUGGCUGAGGUUGGGAUCCAGGCCUUUUGUGGAAGGAUCCUUGGACACUGGGAAGGAGCAGGGCAUGAUUUUAACCUUGUGACAGCUGUUGUUGGCCUCCUGGGUCCCAUCAGCUUUUACCACCAAUUGGAACUUAUAGGCCACACAUUUCUGACUCUUGGAUCUAUGAGCAGCACCUGGGGACAAGAAGUAUUUUUGGGUGUCAUAGUCAUUUUUUUCAGCUUGAGCUUCCACAAAAGUUUCCUUGGUCUCCUCGGCACUGAAUUCUUCCCUUGGGCUUUCCUUGGUCUGACUCUUGUAGACUACUUGGAAGACAGGGUCAGCAGUGGACUUGUCCUCAUCCUCUGAGGAAGGGCAGCUGCUACAGGUAGUGAGCUGCUCAGCUUUGGCCCACUCGGUGCUUGGGCCCAUGGCUUGGGAUGGCUUCCCAGUGGUGGAGGUGCUCCUGUGGGAGGAUGACCAGGAGGCUUCAUUCCUCUCCCUCUGGGCCAGCGUGGGCCGAGGGCAGCUAAAGCAGGAUGUCAGCAGAGCCUUUUGAGCUGGCUUUCUUGGCUCAGCUUCGGCCAUGGAGUCAGAGCCCUGGAGGUCGGCCAGGUCCUUGGUUCGCUUCUCUGUUUCCCGGUAGAUUCGGCAGUAGAGGAUGGUCAUGACAGAAACAGGGAUGUAGAAGGCAGCGAUGGCAGUGCCAAAAGUGAUGGUGGGCUCGGAGAGGAAUUGGAUUUGGCACUCAUCUGGUGGCACUGUCCGCUCCCCAACCAGGUACUGCCAGCAGAGGAUCGCCGGUGCCCAAAGGAUGAAGGAGAUUAGCCAGGCCAGGCCAAUCAUGAUGCCAGCUCUUCUUGGGGUACGCUUGGCCCGAUAGGUCAGAGGUCUUGUGAUAGAAAAGUAACGGUCAAAACUGAUCACCAGAAGGUUCAUGACAGAAGCAUUGCUGGCCACAUAGUCCAGUGCAAGCCAGAGGUCACAAGCCAGACUCCCGAGCACCCAGCGUCCCAUGAGGAUGUAGGUGGUGUAGAGGUUCAUGGAGAAAAUCCCAAUGAUGAGAUCGGCACAGGCCAAGCUGAGCAGGUAAUAGUUGUUAACUGACUUCAGCUGACUGUUGACUUUGAAGGAGAUCAUGACUAAGAUGUUGCCCACAAUGGUGACCAGGCUGACCACAGCAGUCACGGCUGCAAUGGUGAUGAUCUCCCACAACCCAUGGUGUUCCAGAGGCUGGUGACUUACUGGGGUGCCAUUGACAGUGCUGGUGUUGUGAUAAGGUUCCUCUUCCAUCCUUAAAUAGGGUUAAGUCUUGGUUUCUAGACCAUCUCUUUCCUCUCUCACCUCCUCUUGGUCAGCACCUGGAAGAGAGGUAACUGUGUUAACCCCACUCACCAGCAAUGGAUCUCUGCCCCACUCAUUGCUUAUCAUGUGCAAUAGAAUAUUAAGCAUGGCCACACACAUUCAGAGCAGGAUGUGGAAAUCUCUGAAAGCCUUGGUGACAGUCUUGCAGCAGCGCCAUCCCUUUGCUUUCUGGAAGUUACCAGAGCCUGGGAGCCUUUCUUGCACCUGGGGCUGCUGCCCUCUUGUGUUUCCAAUAGGCAAUUUAAAGAAGAGGGGGAAGGAAAGGGAACCGGGUACGUGGGGAGCAAAGAAGAGAAGCAAGCAGGGAAGUUGAAGUCACUCUGGGUUGCGACGACGUUAGGGGCAAACGCUCUGUUUCCUAAGCUCGCAGUGGUUCAGCUAUUAACCAUUACUGAGGCCAUGUUGUGAGGCAGGACCGCAGCACAACACUCCCCCCUGACGUUUGUGCUGGCUUCCCAUGAGCACCAGCUGCUGCUGCUCACCUACCCCCGCUCUUGAGCUAUUUGCCAGGACAGAGGCCUAUCACGCAGGACACGAAAAGACUGUAUUUUCUCCGUGGACAGGAAAGAGAGUGGGGCUGUGUUACAUGGAGGCCUAAGCCACAGCCAUGGAUGCUGCCCUGUGCCCCAUCGAGCCUUGGAGCUGCCGGCCGGGUUUCCCCCAGCUAGGGUCGGCCUUGUCUUGCUGCCCCAGAGUGCUGGACAGACAUCCUGUCUCCCAUGUGCUGCGACACGAGCAAGGCUGCCAGGAUCGUGCAUUGUUCUGGGAGCAGCAGAAAGACACUGAGCCAAGGAGGAGGAGGAUGAACUGUACCAAAUGAGCCUUCCCUGGGACAUCUCUCCAACACCGUAUCGCCUCUCGACCAGUGGCAUCAUUAACUACCACCAAGCAGGAACCCGGGCAUGACCUUACCGCCUGCCCCGCUUACAACUAACCGGUCAUGAGGUCCUAUCAGUUCUCCCAUUACCCGCCUCCUUGGCGCUCAACUUUAUUUAGGCCCUAAUCAUUUGUGGCUGGGACUAUUCCAGUACUUUCCUAAUGGCUCUGCCGAGAAUUUGAAUUCUCCUUUAUAGAACAAUCUUCUGAGCAUAGCGGUUAACAGCAUAGGCUCUGAAGCUGGGCUGCCCAAGGUUCCAAUCCAAUUACUUACAAGCUGUGACGGUGGAAGUUACUUGUCUGUAUCAGAUCCUUUUUUAUCUGUAAAACAGGGCUGACACUAGUACAACUCCAUAAGGCUGCUGGGAGGUUUAGAUGAAGUGUUAUGUAGGCAGUACUAAGAGCCUGCUCUGUCACUGUGUUUAAGGUUGUUUCUCAGCAGUUUUAAUCCUUCAGAGGUUGCCUCUGUCUAGAACGCUCCCGUGUCCCAAUUAUCAACCAGGCAAACUUCUGCUUAACCAUUAGCUCUUGGCUAAAGGGUCUGUUUUUCACAAGGCCUUGGGCUACUUAUUUGGGAGUAUUUGUCUUCCUUUGGGCCUCCACUUUGAACCCUUCUCUGCACUCAGCACACCAGGAGAAUCCUCUAUUUACAGGGUUAUCCUAGGAAAAGUGGAAACUAAAAAAAAAAAAAAAAAAAAAAGAAAAAGAAAGUGGAAACUGACCUGCCUGAAGGCAGGGACCAUGACUUUUUUUUUUUUUUUUUUAAUCUCCAGGCCCAAGCCAUGUGCCUGGCACAAAACAGGCAAUUAGAAGCAAUGAACAGUGUUAAGUAUAUAUGGAUAUCGGAAAGAACUGGGAAGGGUGGGGAAGGAAAGCCACUUGUCUUGCUAUGCUGAUGGAAUGAUGGAAGUUUUAGCUCUUGCUUUUUAAAAUUUUAUGUGGUUUCUGUAAUACAAAGUUAAAAAUGGCUUUCAUGUAUCCAUAUAACCAAUUGCUCUUUUUCCCCUGAUUAAAAGAAUAGACUGGAUAAGGGGGAUCCUUGGGUGGCUCAGCGGUUUAGCGCCUGCCUUUGGUCCAGGGCAUGAUCCUGGAGACCCGGGAUUGAGUCCCACAUUGGGCUC